UGAGAACUGCCCAGGGACUCACGAGAG
RNAcentral lists this unclassified non-coding RNA (27 nucleotides) under Mus musculus (house mouse). Its description in RNAcentral is "oocyte_clustered_small_RNA13400". Lineage: Eukaryota; Metazoa; Chordata; Mammalia; Rodentia; Muridae. The record is from RNAcentral.